GUUUGAAGCGCAGGAAGCAAGUUGAUCCCCUUCGGGGGUGACGCUUGUGGAAUGAGCGGCGGACGGGUGAGUAACACGUGGGCAACCUGCCUGUAAGACUGGGAUAACCCCGGGAAACCGGGGCUAAUACCGGAUAAUACUUUCUUUUGCAUAAAGGAAAGUUGAAAGGCGGCUUCGGCUGUCACUUACAGAUGGGCCCGCGGCGCAUUAGCUAGUUGGUGAGGUAACGGCUCACCAAGGCGACGAUGCGUAGCCGACCUGAGAGGGUGAUCGGCCACACUGGGACUGAGACACGGCCCAGACUCCUACGGGAGGCAGCAGUAGGGAAUCUUCCGCAAUGGACGAAAGUCUGACGGAGCAACGCCGCGUGAGUGAUGAAGGUUUUCGGAUCGUAAAACUCUGUUGUUAGGGAAGAACAAGUUGGAUAGUAACUGAUCCAACCUUGACGGUACCUAACCAGAAAGCCACGGCUAACUACGUGCCAGCAGCCGCGGUAAUACGUAGGUGGCAAGCGUUGUCCGGAAUUAUUGGGCGUAAAGCGCUCGCAGGCGGUCCUUUAAGUCUGAUGUGAAAUCUCGCGGCUCAACCGCGAACGGUCAUUGGAAACUGGAGGACUUGAGUACAGAAGAGGAGAGUGGAAUUCCACGUGUAGCGGUGAAAUGCGCAGAUAUCU
This 673-nucleotide ribosomal RNA is filed under the name Oceanobacillus sp. SCULCB HVA-8. RNAcentral's name for it is "bacterial SSU rRNA". It matches the Rfam family "Bacterial small subunit ribosomal RNA", at positions 46 to 699 of the family's 1533-position model. The record is from RNAcentral. Lineage: Bacteria; Bacillati; Bacillota; Bacilli; Caryophanales; Bacillaceae.